CCGGCCGCGCUCCCCACCUUGCCUGCGCUUGAUAAGAGCCAGCGGUCCUCUACGCACGCACCCCGCAUCCAGUGAGACGCGCCGCGCACCGACGGAGCGGACAUGGGCAGAGCGAUGGUGGCCAGACUCGGACUGUGGCUGCUGCUUCUGGCACUGCUCUUACCUACGCAGAUUUAUUCAAAUCAAACAACUCUUGUAACAGUUUCAAGUAACUCCACCCACAGUACUUCGGCCGCCCCCAAUCCAGCGAAUGCCACCACCAAGGCAAGUGACGGUGCUCUGCAGUCCACAGCCAGUCUCUUCGUGCUCUCGGUCUCCCUUCUACAUCUCUACUGUUAAGAGACUCAGGCCAAGAAACAUCUAUUCUUCCCCAUAUUCUAAACCCAAAUCAAAUGGCAUCUAGACAUCCAGUGUGACAAGGAAAAAAAAAAAAAAAAGAAUCUUCAUUCAAUGAAUCUGCUAAUCCCACACCUAAUUUUACUGACAGAGAAUGUCGAGGAUCCCAAAUUUAAUUGGUUUGAAGAGCAUGUGAAGGGUUUGACUAGCUGAUGAAUGCCAUUAUUAAAUCUGCUGGAGUUUCCUGUACAAGAUGAAGAUCAACAACCUCCAAAAUUAGUUGAGAUGAUUUCCUUAAAUGUGGCUUAAGAAGUAUGGACCCAUAAAACUCUACCUUGAAAAUGAGAAUAGAUUUUUAUCUUAGAAAGAAUGUGAUGUGGAACAGAGAUUCAGUUUUCAUUUGGUUCAUUAAAUUUAUAAGACCAUAAAAUAAUUAGGUAAUACAGAAAGUUUUCAUGAUUCUACUUAUACGUACAUUAGGAGGAACUUCCAAGUGUUACUGUACAUCCCAAGUGUACUGUUUUCAGCAGUACUGAUUUAAUACUGAUGUACUCAAGAUAAUUUUAUGAUAAGCUCUCACUGUUCUCUUGGGAACUGAACUCUUUCCUCUGGGGCUUUGGGUUUGACAUUGUGUUUGACUGUUUAUGUAGCAAUGUGCCAGGGCAAUGAUGGAUUGGAAUGACCCUAAAUCCAAGCAUAAUGAGUACAUUUGGCUUAUAUACUUAUCAAUUAUUCAAUAAGAGUGCUAGAUUCAUUUAACUAAAUGAUAACCAAGAGUAGUACAUUGAUCUCAACUGAUUUCAAAAUGCUUUUUAUUCCUGCAUAUGUUGAGUACUUUUUAAAGUUUAAAAAAAAAGUGAUCUGUUUUGAAGGUAAAUUUGACAAAUCUUGAAAUUAAAAAGGCAAUCAUGUGAAUGAGCCAAACUGUAAAUCAAAUAUUUGGAAAGUGAAGACUGGAAGCUUGCUUAUAUUAAAUUCAGAAAAACUUUUAUACUCUUCUCUGUAAAUACUUUUUUUAAAAAAAUUGAAUCAGAAUAGCCACAUUUGGAACACUUUCUGUUAACAGUCAAUAUUUUUAGAUAGUUAGAACCUGGUCCUAAGCCUAAAGUGGACUUGAUUUUGGAAAGUAAAUCUUUUCACGACUGCCUCAAUGCAGAGAAACCUUUUUAAAACUAGACACUCCCUAAAGUCUUUUGUUCGCAUGGUCACACACUGAUGCUUAGAUGUUCCAGAAUUGAAUAUGGCCACAGUAGUCUUGAUAACCAAAGUCAUUUCCCUCCCCCCUCCCCCGCCCGGAUCUUUAGAAACCUACACUGGAACAGCCACAUCCAACAGAUCUCAAGCUACUGUGUGUGUGAAUGAACAUUCCCUCUUGUUUCAUACCUGAAUGCUGUACAUCUCUUUUGGAUUGUAUAUUGUGUUUGUGUAUUUAUGCUUUGAUUCAUAGUAACUUCUCAUGUUAUGGAAUUGAUUUGCAUUAAACACAAACUGUAAAUAAAAAAUGGCUGAAAGAGCAA
This is a long non-coding RNA of Sus scrofa (pig), 1853 nucleotides long. RefSeq lists it as uncharacterized. The record is from RefSeq and is a predicted model, not a curated record. Lineage: Eukaryota; Metazoa; Chordata; Mammalia; Artiodactyla; Suidae.